GGGCCCGCACAAGCGGCGGAGCAUGCGGAUUAAUUCGAUGCAACGCGAAGAACCUUACCAAGGCUUGACAUGCAGGGAAAUCUCACAGAGAUGUGAGGUCCGCAAGGGUCCUGCGCAGGUGGUGCA
RNAcentral lists this ribosomal RNA (126 nucleotides) under uncultured bacterium. Its description in RNAcentral is "partial 16S ribosomal RNA". It matches the Rfam family "Bacterial small subunit ribosomal RNA", at positions 917 to 1045 of the family's 1533-position model. The record is from RNAcentral.